RNAcentral lists this ribosomal RNA (250 nucleotides) under uncultured bacterium. Its description in RNAcentral is "partial 16S ribosomal RNA". It matches the Rfam family "Bacterial small subunit ribosomal RNA", at positions 524 to 773 of the family's 1533-position model. The record is from RNAcentral.
GACGGAGGGGGCUAGCGUUGUUCGGAAUUACUGGGCGUAAAGGGCGCGUAGGCGGAUUAGUAAGUUGGGAGUGAAAGCCCGGGGCUUAACCUCGGAACUGCUUUCAAAACUGCUAGUCUUGAGUGAAGUAGGGGAUGAUGGAAUUCCUAGUGUAGAGGUGAAAUUCUUAGAUAUUAGGAGGAACACCGGUGGCGAAGGCGGUCAUCUGGGCUUCAACUGACGCUGAGGCGCGAAAGCGUGGGGAGCAAAC